Phasianus colchicus (ring-necked pheasant) is the source of this 1396-nucleotide long non-coding RNA. RefSeq lists it as uncharacterized. The record is from RefSeq and is a predicted model, not a curated record. NCBI's taxonomy places the organism in Eukaryota, Metazoa, Chordata, Aves, Galliformes, Phasianidae.
GCCACUGAAGGGGGAAUAUUUCUUAGGCCUAGGUUUCUUCUUGAGGAGUGCUGUGUGACUAGACAGUACUUUUACCAGUGGGGACUCCCCUGUGAAUAGAAGGAAUAGUAUUAUCAGUACGACAAACCUGGGAAAUGAAUGUGAAGCCUGAACUGACAGAGCAACUUAGCCAAGCUCCAGGCAGGAUAUCUGUAGUACAGUUGGAAAUUGAACCCGGACUCUCAUCCAAGUGCAAGAGUGAUUUUUCCGCAGAGCAAUCACUUUGGCUGUCUCAAAAUCAGAAUAGCUGCUCAAUUGCAUUCCAGAGCUGAGCAGUGCUUAGCAUGCUGAAGGAGGGCGACAGCCCAGGCCUCACUGCAUCUGCAGCCCUGGACUGGGAACAUGUAUGCUGAGUGAUUGGAGGGGGUUGAGCUGGCUCCUAAAGGAGCAAAUCCUACAGAGAUUCUGAGGAAUGUGUGAGGUAUUACCUGGCAGAGCUGUUGCUACAACAGAGUGAUAUUUUAAACAGCUUCUACAAGCUAGAGCCUUCAGUUAUCUUCAGAUUGUCAGCUGCAGGGGGGGAAGAGUGAAUGAAACCUUGUUUAUGCCACUGAUGGCCAAGAAGAUCCAGUAUAAGGCUCUUCAAAAUGCAGCAGUAUUCCUAUUUGUCCAGCUGAGAGUGCUAGUCUCCAUGAAUUAGUCCAGCAAUUGAUGACACUUGAUGAUAUCUCAGCAUCCAGAAAUCCUGAAAGCGUGCUAACUAUGCAAAAUGCUGCUGUGAGAACUGACUGUGAGGUGGCUGUUCUAUUCCCUCUUAAAAGGAUGCUGCUGCUUGAUGUUCCCAGUAUGUAUGUCUUCUUGUCACUGCGGAAUCCAAAGGGAAGUUAAGUGUGGAUUUUGAUGGCUGACAAGAGAGUUUCUUCUUUUUUGACCCCUCAUCUGACUAGAUAAUGAAUAUUCUUGCGGCUAUUACUGUAAGGCCAAGAAAGGGGAAAGAAAUUAUGGAAGGAUGCAUUCAGAGAAUGAAUGAUAAGAAUGGAAAAAGAAACUUAAAGGGCCAGAUUCUGAGGCAGAAUGACUAGCAGUCAACAGGGCAAGUGGCAAGGACUCAGAAAUGCUGUGGAUGUGCAGAGCUUAUAACGAACAGGCUUUCAGUGCCACCUGCAGAACUCUAAGUCAGCAGCUGGAAAGCAUGAGGGGAAGGAAGCUUAUCAGGAAUUAAGUGUAAGAACUCAUCCUUCUCUCAAAAGGCCUAUGGGUUCCUUUCAGGGAUUCCCAAAAGAUCUAGCAGUGUCCUGUGUUUUAUCUACACCAGUGUUCUGAAUAUAGCCUUCAGUCAUACCAGUCUUCUUUGCCAGCAGUGAAUGAGCUUCACGCCCUGUAAAUCCUUUGAGUACCUCCUGUUUAAGUCUAUGUA